UUCCUCUAGUUUAGAUGCAAGCCAGACACAACUAGCUGCAACUUUCUGCAAAAUAUAUUACCACAUCCUAAUUAUUAGUUGAAAAUCGUUGAAACACAUAUUGCAAUGCUUCUAAUCAGAUAUAUUACUAAUCCUUGUUGCUAAAAUAAUGAAUUCAUUCUAGAAAAUUUUCAUAAAAUGGAAGUUAAGAAAUCACAAAGCUUCAACUGAAAUAAAUGCAAACUCCUCAGCAUUACAAAUGAAAAUUAAGGAUUAACCUUGACAUCAAAUCGGGCAAAUGA
This 281-nucleotide unclassified non-coding RNA is filed under the name Hevea brasiliensis (rubber tree). The record is from RNAcentral. Lineage: Eukaryota; Viridiplantae; Streptophyta; Magnoliopsida; Malpighiales; Euphorbiaceae.